This 478-nucleotide ribosomal RNA is filed under the name uncultured bacterium. RNAcentral's name for it is "partial 16S ribosomal RNA". It matches the Rfam family "Bacterial small subunit ribosomal RNA", at positions 28 to 523 of the family's 1533-position model. The record is from RNAcentral.
GACGAACGCUGGCGGCGUGCUUAACACAUGCAAGUCGAACGGUAAGGCCCUUCGGGGUACACGAGUGGCGAACGGGUGAGUAACACGUGGGUGAUCUGCCCUGCACUUCGGGAUAAGCCUGGGAAACUGGGUCUAAUACCGGAUAGGACCACUGCCUGCAUGGGCGGGGGUGGAAAGCUUUUGCGGUGUGGGAUGGGCCCGCGGCCUAGCAGCUGGUUGGUGGGGUGGUGGCUUACCAAGGCGACGACGGGUAGCCGGCCUGGGAGGGUGACCGGCCACACUGGGACUGAGAUACGGCCCAGACUCCUACGGGAGGCAGCAGUGGGGAAUAUUGCACAAUGGGCGCAAGCCUGAUGCAGCGACGCCGCGUGAGGGAUGACGGCCUUCGGGUUGUAAACCUCUUUCAGCACCGACGAAGCGCAAGUGACGGUAGGUGCAGAAGAAGGACCGGCCAACUACGUGCCAGCCGCCGCUGUAA